RNAcentral lists this ribosomal RNA (556 nucleotides) under uncultured bacterium. RNAcentral describes it as "bacterial SSU rRNA". It matches the Rfam family "Bacterial small subunit ribosomal RNA", at positions 9 to 540 of the family's 1533-position model. The record is from RNAcentral.
GAGUUUGAUCCUGGCUCAGGAUGAACGCUGGCGGCGUGCCUAACACAUGCAAGUCGAGCGAAGCACACAUGCGGAGGCCUCCGGGCCAAAGGAUGUGUGACUGAGCGGCGGACGGGUGAGUAACGCGUGGGUAACCUGCCCUAUACAGGGGGAUAACAGCUAGAAAUGGCUGCUAAUACCGCAUGAGCGCACAGCUCCGCAUGGAGCGGUGUGAAAAACUCCGGUGGUAUAGGAUGGACCCGCGUCCGAUUAGCUAGUUGGUGAGGUAAAGGCCCACCAAGACGAUGAUGCAUAGCCGGCCUGAGAGGGCGGACGGCCACAUUGGGACUGAGACACGGCCCAGACUCCUGCGGGAGGCAGCAGUAGGGAAUUUUCGUCAAUGGGCGCAAGCCUGAACGAGCGAUGCCGCGUGAGUGAAGAAGGCCUUCGGGUCGUAAAGCUCUGUUGCGGGGGAAAAAAGGCAGCAUCAGGAAAUGGGUGCUGACUGAUGGUGCCCCGCCAGAAAGUCACGGCUAACUACGUGCCAGCAGCCGCGGUAAUACGUAGGUGGCGAGCG